This 497-nucleotide ribosomal RNA is filed under the name uncultured bacterium. RNAcentral describes it as "partial 16S ribosomal RNA". It matches the Rfam family "Bacterial small subunit ribosomal RNA", at positions 28 to 507 of the family's 1533-position model. The record is from RNAcentral.
GAUGAACGCUGGCGGCGUGCCUAAUACAUGCAAGUCGAGCGAACAGACGAGGAGCUUGCUCCUCUGACGUUAGCGGCGGACGGGUGAGUAACACGUGGAUAACCUACCUAUAAGACUGGGAUAACUUCGGGACACCGGAGCUAAUACCGGAUAAUAUAUUGAACCGCAUGGUUCAAUAGUGAAAGACGGUUUUGCUGUCACUUAUAGAUGGAUCCGCGCCGCAUUAGCUAGUUGGUAAGGUAACGGCUUACCAAGGCGACGAUGCGUAGCCGACCUGAGAGGGGGAUCGGCCACACUGGAACUGAGACACGGUCCAGACGCCUAAGGGAGGCAGCAGUAGGGAAUCUUCCGCAAUGGGCGAAAGCCUGACGGAGCAACGCCGCGUGAGUGAUGAAGGUCUUCGGAUCGUAAAACUCUGUUAUUAGGGAAGAACAAAUGUGUAAGUAACUAUGCACGUCUUGACGGUACCUAAUCAGAAAGCCACGGCUAACUACGUG